This 449-nucleotide ribosomal RNA is filed under the name uncultured bacterium. RNAcentral's name for it is "partial 16S ribosomal RNA". It matches the Rfam family "Bacterial small subunit ribosomal RNA", at positions 29 to 523 of the family's 1533-position model. The record is from RNAcentral.
AACGAACGCUGGCGGCAGGCCUAACACAUGCAAGUCGAACGCCGUAGCAAUACGGAGUGGCAGACGGGUGAGUAACGCGUGGGAACGUACCCUUCAGUUCGGAAUAACCCAGGGAAACUUGGGCUAAUACCGGAUACGUGCGAGAGCAGAAAGAUUUAUCGCUGAAGGAUCGGCCCGCGUCCGAUUAGCUAGUUGGUGAGGUAAUGGCUCACCAAGGCGACGAUCGGUAGCUGGUCUGAGAGGAUGAUCAGCCACAUUGGGACUGAGACACGGCCCAAACUCCUACGGGAGGCAGCAGUGGGGAAUAUUGGACAAUGGGCGCAAGCCUGAUCCAGCCAUGCCGCGUGAGUGAUGAAGGCCCUAGGGUUGUAAAGCUCAUUCGCCAGGGACGAUAAUAACGGUACCUGGAUAAGAAGCCCCGGCUAACUUCGUGCCAGCCGCCGCGGUAA